RNAcentral lists this ribosomal RNA (1324 nucleotides) under uncultured bacterium. Its description in RNAcentral is "bacterial SSU rRNA". It matches the Rfam family "Bacterial small subunit ribosomal RNA", at positions 28 to 1381 of the family's 1533-position model. The record is from RNAcentral.
GACGAACGCUGGCGGCGUGCUUAACACAUGCAAGUCGAACGAUGAUCCCUUCUUCGGUUGGGUGAUUAGUGGCGAACGGGUGAGUAACACGUGAGUAACCUGCCCUCCACUCUGGGAUAACUGUGGGAAACUUCAGCUAAUACCGGAUAUUGAACUUUCACCUCCUGGUGGUUGUUUGAAAGAUUUUUUGGUGGGGGAUGGACUCGCGGCCUAUCAGCUUGUUGGUGGGGUAAUGGCCUACCAAGGCGGUGACGGGUAGCCGGCCUGAGAGGGUGGCCCCCCACAAUGGAACUGAAACACGGUCCAUACACCUACGGGUGGCAGCAGUAGGGAAUAUUAGUAAUGGGCGAAAGCCUGAACUAGCAACGCCGCGUGUGCGAAGAAGGCCUUCGGGUCGUAAAGCACUUUUUGAGAGGAUGAGGAAGGACGGUACUCUCAGAAUAAGUCUCGGCUAACUACGUGCCAGCAGCCGCGGUAACACGUAGGAGGCAAACGUUAUCCGGAUUUACUGGGCGUAAAGCGCGUGUAGGUGGUUUGGUAAGUAGGGCGUGAAAGCUCCUGGCUCAACUGGGAGAGGACGUCCUAAACUGCCAAGCUUGAGGAUGGUAGAGGGAGGUGGAAUUCCGGGUGUAGCGGUGGAAUGCGCAGAUAUCCGGAGGAACACCAGUGGCGAAGGCGGCCUCCUGGACCACUCCUGACACUCAGACGCGAAAGCUAGGGUAGCAAACGGGAUUAGAGACCCCGGUAGUCCUAGCCCUAAACGAUGUAGACUUGGCGUCGGUGGUUUAAUCGCCAUCGGUGUCGUAGCUAACGCGUUAAGUCUACCGCCUGGGGACUACGGCCGCAAGGUUAAAACUAAAAGGAAUUGACGGGUCCCCGCACAAGCAGCGGAGCGUGUGGUUUAAUUCGAUGCUACACGAAGAACCUUACCUGGGUUUGACAUAGAGGUAGUAGGGAAGCGAAAGCGGACCGACCCUUCGGGGAGCCUCUACAGGUGUUGCAUGGCUGUCGUCAGCUCGUGUCGUGAGAUGUUCGGUUAAGUCCGCUAACGAGCGCAACCCUCGCUGUGUGUUACAAGUGUCACACGGUACUGCCGAUAUUAAGUCGGAGGAAGGUGGGGAUGACGUCAAGUCAGCAUGACCUUUAUAUCCAGGGCUACACACACGCUACAAUGGCCAGUACAAUGGGUUGCCAAGCCGCGAGGCGGAGCCAAUCCUAAAAAGCUGGCCUCAGUUCAGAUUGCAGUCUGCAACUCGACUGCAUGAAGUUGGAGUUGCUAGUAACCGCAGGUCAGCAAUACUGCGGUGAAUACGUUCCCGGGGAU